ACACGUAGGUGGCGAGCGUUGUCCGGAAUUACUGGGUGUAAAGGGCGUGUAGGCGGGAGAGCAAGUCAGAUGUGAAAGCCCAAGGCUCAACUUUGGGACUGCAUCUGAAACUGUUCUUCUUGAGUACUGGAGAGGGAAGCGGAAUUCCUAGUGUAGCGGUGAAAUGCGUAGAGAUUAGGAGGAACACCAGUGGCGAAGGCGGCUUCCUGGACAGAGACUGACGCUGAGGCGCGAAAGCGUGGGGAGCGAACAGGAUUAGAUACCCUGGUAGUCCACGCCGUAAACGAUGGAUACUAGGUGUAGGAGGUAUCGACACCUUCUGUGCCGGAGUUAACACAAUAAGUAUCCCACCUGGGGAGUACGGCCGCAAGGCUGAA
This 377-nucleotide ribosomal RNA is filed under the name uncultured bacterium. RNAcentral's name for it is "bacterial SSU rRNA". It matches the Rfam family "Bacterial small subunit ribosomal RNA", at positions 523 to 898 of the family's 1533-position model. The record is from RNAcentral.